Molecule: non-coding RNA, 78 nt
Organism: Gossypium raimondii (Peruvian cotton)
Lineage: Eukaryota; Viridiplantae; Streptophyta; Magnoliopsida; Malvales; Malvaceae
Source: Rfam
AGGAGCCGUAUGAGGUGAAAAUCUCAUGUAAGGUUUUAGACUAGUGAUGUAAACAGUGAUGUCAUCAUCGACUAUAAU